This is a microRNA precursor of Oryza sativa Japonica Group (Japanese rice), 175 nucleotides long. It matches the Rfam family "MIR812 microRNA precursor family". NCBI's taxonomy places the organism in Eukaryota, Viridiplantae, Streptophyta, Magnoliopsida, Poales, Poaceae. The record is from Rfam.
AAUAAGCACAGCUAUAGGUUUCUAUACCCACCUUUAAUCAUCAUUUUUAUUAUUAUUAGAUGAUAAAAUAUAAAUAGUACUUUAUAUGUGACUUAAAUUUUAAAUUUUUUUAUAAUUUUUUUAAAUAAGACGGACAGUCAAACGUUGAGCACAGAAACUUAUGGCUGCAUUUAUA